Molecule: transfer RNA, 69 nt
Filed under: Ictidomys tridecemlineatus (thirteen-lined ground squirrel)
Lineage: Eukaryota; Metazoa; Chordata; Mammalia; Rodentia; Sciuridae
Description: Spermophilus tridecemlineatus (thirteen-lined ground squirrel) tRNA
Rfam family: tRNA
About the family: Transfer RNA (tRNA) molecules are approximately 80 nucleotides in length. Their secondary structure includes four short double-helical elements and three loops (D, anti-codon, and T loops).
Source: Rfam by way of RNAcentral
GGGGUUAUAGCUCAGUGGUAGAGUGGUUGCCUAGCAUGCAUGAGGCACUGGGUUCGAUCCCCAGCACCA